CGCAUCUGUGCAUGCAGCAUAUCAAUAAGCGGAGGAAAAGAAACUAACAAGGAUUCCCCUAGUAACGGCGAGUGAAGCGGGAAGAGCUCAAAUUUGAAAUCUUAAAGGGUUUCCCUUUACGAAUUGUAGUUUAAAGAAGUGUUUUCUGUUGAGGUUUUGGUAAAAGUUCUUUGGAAUAGGACAUCAUAGAGGGUGAGAAUCCCGUAUUUGACCUUUACUUUCAACUUUGUGAUACACUUUCAAAGAGUCGGAUUGUUUGGGAAUGCAGUCCAAAAUGGGUGGUAAAUUUCAUCUAAAGCUAAAUAUUGGCGAGAGACCGAUAGCGAACAAGUACCGUGAGGGAAAGAUGAAAAGAACUUUGAAAAGAGAGUUAAACAGUACGUGAAAUUGUCAAAAGGGAAGCGUUUGACACCAGUGUUGUUUUUCUGAAAAUCAAUUAAAGAACUGUUUAUGCUAAGCUGUUUAGACUUUAUCAGCUAACUGUUUAGUUUUGAGCUUUUCUUUAAUGCACUUUUCAGUUAACAAGUCAACAUCAAUUUCUUUUGCUGUAAAAAAGCUUGAGGAAGGUGGCUUGAGAUUCGUCUUAAGUGUUUAUAGCCUCUUGCCUAUGCAGUCGGAGAGAUUGAGGUCUGCAGCGUAGAUCCUUCGGGGCUAAAUGCAUUUGUGCUAAGUUAUAGCAUUUUAUAGACAACUUGUUGACUAUGAUUUGUCUUGUAGCUUACUCGCUUAUGUUAUUUUACCUACGCUUAGGAUGUUGAGUAUCACACAUCUCU
RNAcentral lists this ribosomal RNA (773 nucleotides) under uncultured Neocallimastigales. RNAcentral's name for it is "partial large subunit ribosomal RNA". It matches the Rfam family "Eukaryotic large subunit ribosomal RNA", at positions 26 to 646 of the family's 3401-position model. The record is from RNAcentral. Lineage: Eukaryota; Fungi; Neocallimastigomycota; Neocallimastigomycetes; Neocallimastigales.